This 454-nucleotide long non-coding RNA is filed under the name Helianthus annuus (common sunflower). Its description in RNAcentral is "sRNA HanXRQr2_Chr15g0722491". Lineage: Eukaryota; Viridiplantae; Streptophyta; Magnoliopsida; Asterales; Asteraceae. The record is from RNAcentral.
AAAAGAAAGAUCUAAUUAACAAAAGCAAAUAAGACUACAAACUGAUGCAGCAGCAGCAUAAUCAUAUCCACCAUGAAUAAGUCAACAUAGCAUUCUGAAAAGAUGCUUAAUGCCUAUGACUAAGUUAUAUGCUCACACGAACCAACUCUCCUCAAUUACAUGCAAGUGAUGCUAAUGCAUUCCUCUGACUUAAGAUAUAAUGGAUGCAUGCUAUGAACACUAUUAGUAUGUUCUUCUUUUAUCAGAGCAUAGAGAACAGAGUACAUCCCCUUCCAGCUACUGGUAAGUAAUAGCUGCUGGUGACCCGUUUGACCCAGGGUAGCCGCCGUCCUUCCUUUUCCCAAACGGGUUCUUUGAAUAUGUUUUCUGAGGAUAUUGUAUCCGCAUGCCAACAGAACCAGAACUAGGGAUAACAGCACCCUGCAAGCUAUGGUGCACGUUUGUUGCACUAUUC